This 498-nucleotide ribosomal RNA is filed under the name uncultured bacterium. Its description in RNAcentral is "partial 16S ribosomal RNA". It matches the Rfam family "Bacterial small subunit ribosomal RNA", at positions 28 to 523 of the family's 1533-position model. The record is from RNAcentral.
GAUGAACGCUAGCGGCAGGCCUAAUACAUGCAAGUCGAGGGAGAAUGUUGGAUUCGUCUGACAUGAAACCGGCGCACGGGUGCGUAACACGUAUGCAACCUACCUUUAACUGGGGUAUAGCUCAGAGAAAUCUGAAUUAAUCCCCCAUAAGACUACGACAUGGCAUCAUGAUGUAGUUAAAGCUCCGGCGGUUAAGGAUGGGCAUGCGGUACAUUAGCUAGUUGGUGGGGUAAUGGCUCACCAAGGCUACGAUGUAUAGGGGGUCUGAGAGGAUGAUCCCCCACACUGGUACUGAGACACGGACCAGACUCCUACGGGAGGCAGCAGUAGGGAAUAUUGGUCAAUGGACGCAAGUCUGAACCAGCCAUGCCGCGUGAAGGAUGAAGGCCCUAUGGGUCGUAAACUUCUUUUAUUAGGGAAGAAAAAACGGGAUGCGUCCUGUACUGACGGUACUUAAUGAAUAAGGAUCGGCUAACUUCGUGCCAGCAGCCGCAGUAA